CUUCGCCGUCCCUGACUGGAGGAAACCUGCAGGCUCUCGUCCGCCGAGCUCAGAAGUGCCAGGCGCUGCCAACGGCCCCGGAGAUCCUCGCGUAGGGGCCCCCGGGGCGAUGCGGAACGCUCCCGCAAGAGCGGCGCCGGAACUUGGGCGGGGAGGAAGACGAGCUUUCGCAGACAGGGCCGGGAGGAGAGGGCGGGAGCGGGAGGGACGCUAAGUGGGGUGUCUCCGCCUAAGCCGACCGGCGGGCACACGCGGGCCCGGUAGAGAAAGGUUCUGCUGCGCGUAGUUGGCCCAUCCCGUUUGGGCCUGGAUGUCCUCAAUGUCCUUGACUCCUGGAACCUCCUCCUGGCCCCUAAACGGCCCUGAGGGUCUCCAGCCAGGGAGUGGGGGCGGAGUGAGGGCGCUAAGCUGAUGGGCUAAGGAGACCACCCUAUUUUACUAUAGACGGUGCGGGUCCUGCUUCUGCCCCUGAGCCGGGGUUAGGGAAGGGGUUGCGCGUACUCGGAGGGUCCAUUUCAGGAAAAGGGCGGCGUUUCUGAGUUCCCGAAAUGUGGGAGGGCUUGAGAGCCACAACACCAGGCUCUGAGAAGGGACUGGAAGUACGGCCUGACUUUCCCGGAGAAAGGGGUUAAGUGUGAGAGAAAGAUGGGAGCGAAGGGGAGCUGCGCUCGCGGUGGAAGGAGCGAGGUAUCCUGGGAAGGAAAGCGAGUCCCGCGUUCAGACAGAGCAGGAAUCUCAUCCUGAGCCGGCAGAACCUCCGUUUUCUCACAGACAUCACAAGAUUGUUGUUAGGAUUUGAAACGAUCGUUUAUCCAAUGAAUAUUAGAGGUCGACUACGUGCCAGGCUCUGCUUAGCACUAGGGAUUCAGUAAUGGAACAAAUAAGUCAACAAAUGAUAGACAAGAUCAGUUGAACUGGUAUCAUUACCAUUUGCUCUGAAGCAAAUGAAAUAGAAUGAUGGGGGCACUCAUUUAGUUUGGGUGAUCAGACAAGACCUCUAUGACAAGUGACAAGAACAGACGGUAUUCUAGGCAAAGGGGACAGCUAAUAUAAAAGUCCUGAGGAGGGAACAGUCUGGUGAGCUCGGAAACAGAAAGGUCAGUGUGGCUGCAGCAGAGUGGGCCACAGUAAGAAUGAUAGAUGAAGUCAGAGGAUGCAACACACGUUAGGGCCUAAUAACCCAUAGCAAAGGGUUUAAGUCUACUCUGUGAUGGGGGCAUUUGAAGGGUUUUAAAGAGGGAAGUGACAAGAUGCUAUUUGUGUUUUUUAAAAAGAUCACUCUGGCUGCUGUAUGGAGAAUAAACUCUGGAAGGCAAGAGUAGAUAGGGGGACAGGCCUUGGAUUAGGAUGGUAGGAGUGAAUGGUAGGUGAUGAAGCUUCUGGGACAGUCUCAAAAAACUCAAUAUGAAAGUGACUUCCUCCCUCUUCCUCCCUUCCCCAAAGGACAAAAUUUACCAUAGAGAAAGAACAAAUGCAUUUAUGUGGCUCCAAGGGACUGGGCUCGGCUCAACAAGUUCACAUACAUUAUUUUAUUUGAACCCCACCAUUCCAAUUCUAGGAGGUAAAGGCCUCACUUCCAUUGCAGCUAUUGGUGGAGGUGUGGGUCACUUCUCAAAUUCUCUCCAUUCUACAGCUCAGCUUUACCCACUUAUUGCAGAUCCCUACAGAAACACGAGUUAUUUUUCUCCUUACCAUAAACAAAAACAGCAUUGGCAAUAAGGGCUGAAGGUAAGAUUCUACUGGUAGCGUCUCUGAAAUAGCUGAUAGAGAAGUGGGGGAAGCUGGCUGGUUUAUUUGGGGACUUCAGGGUCAUGAAAAAACCCAGUGUUUGACAGGGACCCAGGCUUUUUGGUCUCGGAUUCACACAUUCAGAUGUGUGAUGACUUCCUUUUCUGGCUCCAUACGGCAAGCAUGCACCUCAUCUACCAUCUGUCUCCUCUCUGCCUUUCUAUCUCUCUCUGUCUCUCCAUAUCUCUAACUCCGUCUCCCUACCACCCUCCCUCUCCUCUGCCAACACACUUUGAUUACCUGGGCACAAGCUGACCUGGAGGAGUGCCUGGCUCUUUAGAAAAACCAUCUCCUCAUAGCCUUUUACCCUAUUAUGUUCCUGAAUCAUUCUACAUUCUAUUCCGAACCAACUUUCUGAAGAAGGUGAUGUAAAAAAGUCCAGACACAGGCCCCUUCUUCCAGUUUUGUUUUCUAAGGGAGACCUGAUUCAUCCAGACUCAUUGCUGAAUAAGAGACUCCCUUCUUCCUCGUGCCCUCUCUACCUCAGUUUGGUGGUAUAACUGGAUGGGUACUACAAGGGGUGACUGCUCCAAGGGUCAAGCUAGAGAGGGGCUCAGAACUUGCAUUGUGUGGCCUCCAUCCCAAGAUGGGAAUACCUCUUUGCUCCAGCAGCCCAAAGUCAGGAGGUUUGGGCUGCUGUUUUCUUCUGUGUUUAUCAAAGUUGCUUCGUAUAGGCUUCUGGGCUCCCUUGGUUUCUUAAUAGCUAUUGGCUGACUGGAGACUAUUUAGUUGCUUGUUUACCUGGGCUUAGAGGGUGACGUUUCUGUGGUCAGGUUGUGCAAAUCUGGAGAGAGGAUAUGUAAACAGGACAAGGCUGCUUUCCCAAAGGCCAGGGCCCAGAAAUAGUUCCUUGUGCUUCUGACCUAUUUCCUCCUCCCUGGACAGAAAGCCACUGAGCAAAUGUGCAAUAGUAAAACAUAACUACAAGUAGCUAUAUCCUGAUGGAGAUUGAUUUGCUGAUGACAACAAACUGCAGCCUUCCACCUGGAAAUAAGGCAGGACUGACCUUUCCCCGCACUUUGCUUCCUAGGCAUUAUAGUGGCCUAUGAGCAGAAUUUGCCAUGCCUUCCAUGGAGCAUUCUUUUUCCAAGUCAGGUCAAUCCAGCCUGCAGCUGUAAGUCAAUGAAGUUCCUCAGAUAAAGUGCAUGCAAAAAUGUUAUUUUUCAAGCACCAGUAAAGACACUUGUUUUAAUCUUAUACCCCUUGCACGUACUAUAGAGGAAGAGGGUGACCCUUAGUGUUGAAUAGAUCUGGGUGGGAUUUCCAUAUCUAUGGACAAGCUGUGGCUCUGGGCCAGUUUCUACAUCUGUACAAUGGAGUCAAAUCUUUUCCUUGCAGGGCUGGUGUGAUGGGAACAUGCCAGCUUCUUCACCAAGCCUGGUCCUAUGAAGGGGUGCCUCAGUACAUACUAGUUUCUCUUUCCUCUUAUUCCCCUCCUGCCCACCUGACAAAAUCCUUCUAUUUUGCCCACGUUACAAAACUCUUCUAUUUUGCCCACCUGGCAAAAUCCUUCUAUUUUGCCAUUAACCUGCUCAAGAAAGGACUUUGUCCCCAUCUGCAUUUUCUCUGCAAGAAUGUGCCCGCCUCUAAGAAUGGAGAGUAAACCCAUGGUAUACAAGGGGCUGGGGAGGCUAAUUCACAAGAGUUCAGAAAUUCCAACAGAGCUGCACAAGGAUGAUGUCAGAAAUAAGAGUGAUAACUCAGAAACCAGUGACAGUCUAUCAGCCCGGUUUCACAAAACUGGCAGCCCACUGGCCUCUGCCUCCUCUGCCUCCCACUCUCCUUGCCUUUCCCUGAAAAGCAAAUCUAAUGAUUGGCAAAAACAAAACCAAGGCUGGAGGAGAGGGGGUGGCUAGUCUGUGUUAUUUUGCGAAGCCAUUCAUCUCUGCCAGAUUUAGGUUUACCAGGAAAGUAGGUUGAAAUAGACGUGUGUCUGCUUUGUUCUAACCCCAUUCUUCUCUGGAUAGUGGUACCAAUCGGUAUCCUGGGCUUAUAAUGACAGAAAUAUGUGUGCCAGGCAUCACAGUGAACAUUUCACACAGAUGAGCAUGUUAUAUUUACACAAGCUUCUGAAGUACAUGCCAUUAUUAUCAUUCCCAUUCUUCAGAUGAAGAAACUAAGGCAGAGAGCUGUGGAGUAGCUUGUCUGUGGCCUCAUAACUGGAGUGUGGGAGAACAUCAGGAUUUGAACUCAGGCUGUCUGGCCACCUCCACCCCACCUGCUACCAACCUUCUGUGCCCUCUCAGUUCUCCCCACCCAUCAUGUUCUUUGCAGUCAGGACCCCAGCUUUAGGUGCCCAAAGCUUUCUGUGGUCCUGGUCACUUCACUUGGGCUAAGGGGCCAAUUAACUUACUGAGCCAUCCCAUGCCAAUGGGGAAGGGCUGGAGGAAACCCCACCACCAUCCCACACAUAGUCUGGACAGCCCUCACUCCUACCCCAGGAGCACAGAUCCACAUCCAGAGCAAAUGCCAUCUCAUCCUGGACAUCUUCCUUGAUUUUGCCCCUGAGGUCUAUACCACUUUAUACCUCUCUUGGGACCUUUGCCUCUUUCCAAAAAUUACUCGUGUCUGUACAAGAUUUCAUAGUCUCCAAAGGCCUUUCCCAUCCACCUAGUCCAGCUUCUUCCCAGGCCUUUUAACCUCCUUCUAUCACUGGGAUGGCAUUCAGCAUGGUAAUUCAGCACCUGAGCUCUGGAAUCCAGCCUGCAGCAUCCUAACUUCACCACUUGCUAGCUGUGUGCCGCUGGGCAAGGUACUUGCUCAACUUCUCAACAUCUCGGUUUCCCUAUCUGUGAAACUGGGAUAAUAAUAAUGUCACCCUUAUCUGGUUGGAGGGUUGAAUGAGAUAAGCAUACAAGCAUACACAGCACCCAAACUCAGUAAGUGCUGGCUGCUGUUAUCAUCUCACUAAAUCUUCUCCCAAAACUCCUGUGGGAUUAAACCUUCCCACCACCCUCCCACACACACUCUGGUUCUUGUCAUCAGUAAAAAUGCAUCUGAACCAGAUGACCUUUAAGCUUUCUUCCAGCUCCAUCAACCUAUGAUUCUACCAUGAAUCACAGUUAUUAUGGACACAUUUUAACUCUUUAUGCCAUAGCAAUCUCCUGAAGGCCCAGCCCUUAACAUAGGGCCUUGUAUACAGUUGGCUGUCCUGCCAGGGUGAUGUUAGCACCUAACAAUAGUCCUUGCCUCAUCCACGCACUGGGAUGAACAAAUGAGGAAAUUCCUAUAUAGCAUUUAGUCCAGUGCCUGGCACUGAGUAAGCCCCUAAUAAGUCAUGGUUUCUAUUAUUAUCCCAUCUGAUACUAAUAAGAUUCCCAAACAUGGUCAUUAAAAGCAUAGGAGCCACACUGGGUGUGGACUCAUCCUAGUGCUGAUCCUGUGAGACCUUGAGCAAGUUAAUUCACCACCCCAUGCCUCAAUUUCCUCCUCUGUAAUAUGGAUGUGAUUAUGAGUAACUUCCUAAUAAGGUUGUUGUGAGUUAAUAGAAGGGCACUUAGAAUUGUGCCUGGCAUCUGCUUGGUAUAUGUAAGUGCUUUUUGUCAUCAUUUACAGAUGUCAGCGGCACCAAGGGACAUCCCCAAGCAGUAGUGGAGUUGGGAUCCAAACCUAAGCUUGACUGAUUCCAGAGCCUCAGUGCUAAUAUUAGGAGAUAUUGCUGCCCUGUGUGAUCCCAUGCAUUUCAGCAGGAGCCUCCUUGUCCACUCCUUUCAGUUGUCUUCCCUGGCAAAGGAGUUUUUAUAAUGGUGAUUUCAGGAUGGGAGGAGGGUGAGUCAGCACCAGAGAGACCUAAGGAUGCCCUCAAAUCAUACCACAGGAGAAGCAGCCUUCUUCUCACCUGUGUCUGGUCGUAUCACUUUAGCAUUCCAUCAGGACCUGGCCCAGAAGCCCAGAAACAUGGCAACACCCACACCUGCCAUCUAGCCUGGAAGCUGCAGCGAAACCCUCAGCACUCACGCUGAUGUCACAUUUGAGGCUAGUCCCAGCUCUUCCAUGGAGACAGGCCCUGGCCUUGAGGCCAUUUCCCAUUUCUGAGGCAUGAUUCACUUAGCAGACAAGACCAGACAGACUCGUUCAUGUUCAUACCUACCGGAGGAAGGAGAGGUGGGUGGUGGAUCCAGGGGGAGAAGAAAAACAAACGGGGUUAGGGCUGGCAGGACUCUCGCUGCUGGGCUGCAGGGGCGGAGCAGGCAGGCAGAGCGCCUGACUUAGGAGCCGUGCCCAGCAUGGCCACCCACUCACCCAUUUAUCUUCCUUGCAGUCAAAUGUAUUGAUUUAAACAGGAAUCCGUCUGUGCUUCUAAAGCCCCAGAAACGCACUUACAUCUCACGUGUAGCACAAUGAUUUUCAAAGAGGUUUCCCACAAAUAAUUUUAAUUUGGGUUACUUUUUAAAUAUUUGAUUCUCUUAUUAACAAAGCAACACAUGCUUAUGAGGAAUGCUGGGACAACUUUUCAAAUGUCAAUUUUAAAUAUAUACAGAAUUAUACCACCAGCAAUAAGAUUUUCAGUAAAUUUCCCACUAGUCUGUUUUCUGAGUCCACAGACAUAUAUAGUUCAUGAAACAAAAUUGGAGCCAUACCACACAAAGAGUUCCAUAUCUUUUUUUCUUUUCAUUUAACAUAAAGUCAUUGGCAUUUUUCAAUGUUACCAAAUAUUCUGCUACAGCAAUUCAUAAUGGCUGCAUUUAUCAGAAUAGAUGUGUUAUAAUUUCGGUGGCCAUGCCCUGAUUGUUGGACUUUCAAGAUGUUUACGAAAAUAUUACUAUUAAAAUAACAGUGCCACGAACACCUCUUUACUUGUAUUUUUGUCUGUAUAUCUGAUUAUGUGCCAAUAAUAAAUUUCUAGUAAUGGAAUUACUAGCUCACAGGAUUUGAAUAUUUCUGAAUAUAUCUAGCCAAAUUACUUUCCAGAAAAUACAUCCAGUUUACACUCCCCCGGCAAUGUGUUCGAAUGUUCUCACUCUGUUUUGAGCUUGUGAGCCAGUGAGUUAGGUAACAAGGUCUCAUGUUACAGACGAAGAAAACUGGGCACAAAAAGAUUAAGUAGCCAGCUCCAGUUCGUACAACUGAGAUCCAAGCCCUGGCCUCCUGGAGUUAGUGUCAGGGGCCUUCCAGACAAGGAGAGCUCUGAAGAGGUUUCCUGACUAAUGGAGUUGGAUAGAACUUUCUUUUUUUUUUUUUUUGAGACGGAGUCUCACUCUGUCACCCAGGCUGGAGUGCAGUGGCGACAUCUUGGCUCACUGCAACCUCUGCCUCCCAGGUUCAAGUGAUUCUCCUGCCUCAGCCUCCCGAGUAGCUGGGAUUACAGACAUGUGCCCCUAUGCCCAGCUAAUUUUUAUAUUUUUAAUAAGUAGAGACAGGUUUUCAGUAUGUUGGCCAGACUGGUCUAGAACUCCUGACCUCAGGUGAUCCACCUGCCUCAGCCUCCCAAAGUGCUGGGAUAAUAGGUGUGAGCCAUCAUGCCUGGCCGCCUUCUAUUAUUUAUUAGAGACAUUAGUCUGUAACUUCUCCUUUUUUAAUAACUUUGAUAUAUUUUUAUAUUAAAGUUAUGCUGGCCUGAAAGUUGAGAUAUUUUCCCUUUUUUCUCUAGUAUUUUCUUUGAGGGAAGGUUUCUAAUUAUGGAUUAAAGUUUUUAAAGUAGAUGUAGGUAUAUGUACAUUUUGUACUUAUGUUCAUUUUGGUAAAUUGGGCUUCUCAAAGAAUUGAUUCACUUCCUUCAAAUUUUCAAAUUUAUUAGCGCACAUUUUUUAUAAUAUCUUUUUAUCAUUUUAAUAUCUGUAGCAUCUGUUUUUAUAGCCUGCUUUUUUCAUUCCUGAUACUGAUAAUUCAUAUUUUCUCUUUGUUUUUCUUAGUCUUACUACUAUUUAUCAAUUUUUUUUUUUUUUUUUGGAUACAAGGUCUCACUCUGUCACCCAAGCUUGAAUACAGUGAAAUGAUCACAGUUCACUGCAGCCUUAGCUUUGGCUCAAGCGAUCCUCCCACCUCAGCCUCCCAAAGUGCUAGGAGUACAGGCAUGAGCCACUGUGACUGGCCUAUCAGUUUUUUUAACCUUUUCAAAGAAUGAAUGUUUGGAUUUAUUUUCCAUAUUGCAAAUUUUUUUCUAUUUCACAGAUUUUUGCUCUUUAUUAUUUCUUUGCUUUUUCUUUAUUUGGUCCUAAUUUGGUUGCUCUUCUUUUAGAUUCCUGAUUUUCAAUUCUUAGUGUUUUUGUUUGUUUGUUUUUUUUUUUUUUUGAGAUGGAGUCUUGCUCUGUCACCCAGGCUGGAGUGCAGUGGCACAACCUUGGCUCACUGCAACCUCCUCCUCCCGGGUUCAAGCGAUUCUCCUGCCUCAGCCUCCCGAGUAGCUGGGAUUACAGGUGUGCACCACCAUGCCCAGCUAAUUUUUGUAUUUUUGGUAGAGACAGGGUUUUACCAUGUUGGCCAGGCUGGUCUUGAAUUUCUCACCUCAAGUGAUCCACCUGCCUCAGCCUCCCACAGUGCUGGGAUUACAGGCUUGAGCCACCUCGCCCAGCCAAUUCUUAGUCUUUUUUUUUUUUUUUUUUUUUUUUUGAGAUGGAGUCUUGCUCUGUCACCCAGGCUGGAGUACAGUGGCACAACCUUGGCUCACUGCAACCUCCUCCUCCCGGGUUCAAGCGAUUCUCCUGCCUCAGCCUCCCAAGUAGCUGGGAUUACAGGUGUGCACCACCAUGCCCAGCUAAUUUUUGUAUUUUUGGUAGAGACAGGGUUUUACCAUGUUGGCCAGGCUGGUCUUGAAUUUCUAACCUCAAGUGAUCCACCUGCCUCAGCCUCCCAAAGUGCUGGGAUUACAGGCAUGAGCCACCUCGCCCAGCCAAUUCUUAGUCUUUUUUUUUUUUUUUUUCAUUUCUGAUAUAUACAUUUAAGGCCAUACAUUUUCCUCUAAUCACUGUCUGGCUGACAUCCUACAGUUUAUAAAAUAAAAUUAUAUGUGUUUAUUACAAGAAUCAAAUUAAGAAAUUGUAUCAGCUUCUCUAACAUACUUAUUUACACAGCAAAUAUAAUAUACCAAGAUGAUGCAAACCUUUCAAAUAUGUCAAGCCACAGUUUUCUUUGCUUUUUUUUCUUAGUUUAAAAUAUAUUGUUGUUCUUCCACCUUAUCUUUGUUUUCAUAAGUGGUUUUUCUCUUAUCCUGCCUUAUAAUUUUGCUAGGUUUGGUGAUGUAGGAAAUCAAAAAAGGAUUUAGACAAGAACAAAUGAAGUUAUGGUCCGAACAAUUUUGAAGCAAUAGAUUUACAUUUGAGAACUUUUAGUUGUAAUGAUCCUGCAAGUUUUGGUUUGUUGUGUUUUCAUUAUUAUUCAGUUCAAAAUAUUUUCUAAAUCUCAUGUGAUUUUUUUCAUUUUAUUCAUAAGUUAUUUAGAAGUCCUAUCAAAUCUCAAAGCGGUGGGGGAUUGUAUUAUUAGCUACAUAUGACAGAUGUUUGGCUUAAUUCCACAGUCGAAGAACACAAUCUGUAGGAUUUCAUUCCUUUGAUAUUUGUUGAGGUUUGAUCAUGUCUCAGCAUGUGGUGUAUCUGUGGGAAAUGUUCAAUGUGUACUUGAGAAGAAUGUGCUUUCUGUACUUGUUUAUAAUAUCUAAAACAAAAGAGUGAUUAUCUUCUAGGUUAUAUAAAAACUCAGGCAAAUCGGUAGGAAAAAAAAAUGCCACAGGAAACCCUAUAGAAAAAAAUGGCAUAGGAAAAGAACAAGCUAUUCACAGAAGCAAAAGCCCAAAAUAGAAGAGAUACUCAAAUUUAUUAGUAAUCAGAGGAACGCAAUCACAAGAUACCACUUUUUAUACUUGGACGUCAGAAUGGUAAAAAUUAGAUAGGCAAAAUCAAAUGUUAGUGUUUAUCACAGAGAACUCACAAAGGUUUUUAGGUACAAAGACCUUCCUCAUGGCUUUAUCUGAGUGGUGGGGAAGUGAGGGCAACUUAGGUAUUCAUUAUCACAGAUGGAGAAGAACCAUACGAUGGAUGCUCACUCUGGGAAGAUUGGUUAGUGGCUCACCAAGUCUAUCUCCUUUUCUUCCAAGACACACAAAUAGACUACAUUUUCCAGUCUUCAUUGCAGUUAGGCACAACCAUUUGACUGAGGUCUAGUCAAAGAAUAUGAAUGGAAAUGAUGUUGCUAUUCCAGGCCCAUGAAAACCUCUCACACAAGAUAUUUAUGCCUUUCACCUUCUGCCAAUGCAAUGCAGGUGGAUGCGACCAUCUUGGAAGCCAUGUUAAAGAAGGCAGAGCCACAAGAUAGAUGCAGCCGGGUUCUCUAAAUCACCACUGGGGAGAAACCCACACACCAAUGAGGAAUACCCAUUUUUUGGAUUUUAAGAGCAAGAAAUAAACUUCAAUUGUGUUCAGCAUUAUGUGCUUUGGGGUUUGUUUAUUACAGCAACUAGUGUUACUGCAACUAAUACAUAGUACACUAUGAAAAUACAAUGCUGGAGAAAGAAGUGAUGGAAUAGAUAUGCAUAAAACACCAUUGAUAGGCCUCACAAACAUAGGGUUAAGUGCAGAAGUACAGAAACAGAAUGAAAUUUAUAACUAGAUUCUAUUUAUUAAAUAGCAUAUGCACACAAUAUAAUAAUACAUGUUUUCUGAGGAUACAUGCAUAUUUAAGGAUGUAUAACAAAUGCUUUAGAAUGGGUAUGUAUGGGCCAGGUGCGGUGGCUCAUGCCUGUAAUCCCAGCACUUUGAGAAGCCAAGGCAGAUGGAUUACCAGAGGUUGGGAGUUCGAGACCAGUCUGGCCAACAUGCUGAAACCCCAUCUCUACUACAAAUACAGAAAAUUAGCUGGGUGCAGUGGUGGGCAUCUGUAAUUCCAACUAAUUGGGAUGCUGAGGCAGGAGAAUCACUUGAACCUGGGAGCCCGAGGCUGCAGUAAGCCAUGAUCGUACCACUGCACUCCAGCCUGGGAGACAGAGUAAGACUCCAUCUCAAAAAAAAAAAAAAAAAAAAAGAAUGGGUAUGUACGGUAGGAAUCAGAGAAGAAGGGAGAAAAAAGAAAAA
Molecule: long non-coding RNA, 10790 nt
Filed under: Homo sapiens (human)
Lineage: Eukaryota; Metazoa; Chordata; Mammalia; Primates; Hominidae
Description: non-protein coding lnc-CLN6-1:5
Source: RNAcentral